Molecule: long non-coding RNA, 606 nt
Organism: Pecten maximus
Lineage: Eukaryota; Metazoa; Mollusca; Bivalvia; Pectinida; Pectinidae
Exons: 2
Source: RefSeq, a predicted model, not a curated record
UAAACAAUUAAAAUGCAAUUUUAAUAUCAUUUAUACAUGCUAAGGAGUAAAUUAAAAUACAUCUUGAAUUAUGUAGCAUAUAUUAAAUGCUUGUUAUAGUCCCUAUCAAAGGGUUUCAUAACAGAGUGAGGGCGCAGGGUUAUGGAGGUGAAAGGUCACGCGCAGUGAUUUUACUAUAUAUACCUAUUACACGGUAACAGUAGCUACCCAGCCACUGAAACAGACUGCAUCACUAAUGGACACAAGUCAAGGUCAGUUUGUGUUUACAUCAUUUUAAGGUUGGAAUUUAUCUACCCGCCUCCUCCCCAGCAUCCUCCUUUUGUUAUACUAUGUUACCUGUAUCAAUUUUGAACAUUUUAUGUCCACAUGAUUAUAUCAUUGAAUUUCUGGAUAUUGUAUGUGGUCAAUUUUUGUAACUACCUUUACAUCUAAGUUUCACACAUAUGAGUAUUUUGUUGUAACUUAAGUUUUUAGUUUAAGGUGGCGGUUUUGUAUCCCCACCUUGGACCAAAGUUCGAUUCAUAUGGUUGAUUUUAUGAAUAUCAACUUGUAUUGCAAGUUUGUUUCAAUUGUCGUUUAAUAAAUAAACGGCCAAUUUCAAUUCAA